Zootermopsis nevadensis is the source of this 461-nucleotide non-coding RNA. The record is from RefSeq and is a predicted model, not a curated record. Lineage: Eukaryota; Metazoa; Arthropoda; Insecta; Blattodea; Termopsidae.
GGCGGAAGAAAAACUGUGACACAUAUGCAGGUAAUCCUUGAGGUGCAUAGUUGAUUACAUGUACUGGGGCUACUCAAAACUGCUAUGGGUGGUGGGCUGCACGAGCUUUCUCUUACAGGGACUUCACGACUGUUUACAUUGUUUCACAAUAAGAUAACUGUUGUGGUGUUAAACACAUCACUCAAACAGUGGAUGUAUAAACAUAAAUUAGGUCAUGCGCUCGUGUGCCUGAACUGAAUGCCACUGACCUACACUUUAAAACUGAAUAACCACAAAAUAAAAUCAUUAAGAAAGAUGUUUAAGAAUGAGGUUCAUAAUUUUGUGACAUUACUUGUGAAACUCUACAGUUUCUCAGAAAUCAUAAUUUUUUGUCUGCAAUCUAAGAUUUACUUCUAAAUAAAUCAAAGAUAGACAACUGUAAAAAUAAAGAAAUAAUGUCAAAAUAAAUGAACUACACACAA